AGUUUGAUCCUGCUCAGGACGAACGCUGGCGGCGUGCUUAACACAUGCAAGUCGAGCGGUAAGGCCUUCGGGGUACACGAGCGGCGAACGGGUGAGUAACACGUGGGUGAUCUGCCCUGCACUUCGGGAUAAGCCUGGGAAACUGGGUCUAAUACCGGAUAUGACCAAAGGCUGCAUGGCUUUUGGUGGAAAGGUUUACUGGUGCAGGAUGGGCCCGCGGCCUAUCAGCUUGUUGGUGGGGUAAUGGCCUACCAAGGCGACGACGGGUAGCCGACCUGAGAGGGUGACCGGCCACACUGGGACUGAGACACGGCCCAGACUCUACGGGAGGCAGCAGUGGGGAAUAUUGCACAAUGGGCGAAAGCCUGAUGCAGCGACGCCGCGUGAGGGAUGAAGGCCUUCGGGUUGUAAACCUCUUUCAGCAGGGACGAAGCGAAAGUGACGGUACCUGCAGAAGAAGCACCGGCUAACUACGUGCCAGCAGCCGCGGUAAUACGUAGGGUGCGAGCGUUGUCCGGAAUUACUGGGCGUAAAGAGUUCGUAGGCGGUUUGUCGCGUCGUCUGUGAAAACCCACCGCUCAACGGUGGGCCUGCAGGCGAUACGGGCAGACUUGAGUACUGCAGGGGAGACUGGAAUUCCUGGUGUAGCGGUGAAAUGCGCAGAUAUCAGGAGGAACACCGGUGGCGAAGGCGGGUCUCUGGGCAGUAACUGACGCUGAGGAACGAA
This 727-nucleotide ribosomal RNA is filed under the name Rhodococcus sp. GWS-TZ-H309. RNAcentral describes it as "bacterial SSU rRNA". It matches the Rfam family "Bacterial small subunit ribosomal RNA", at positions 10 to 757 of the family's 1533-position model. Lineage: Bacteria; Bacillati; Actinomycetota; Actinomycetes; Mycobacteriales; Nocardiaceae. The record is from RNAcentral.